UACGGGGGGAGCAAGCGUUGUUCGGAUUUACUGGGCGUAAAGGGCGCGUAGGCGGCCAGCACAAGUCGGUUGUGAAAUCUCCGGGCUUAACUCGGAAAGGUCAACCGAUACUGUGCGGCUAGAGUGCGGAAGGGGCAACUGGAAUUCUCGGUGUAGUGGUGAAAUGCGUAGAGAUCCGGAGGAACACCAGUGGCGAAGGCGACACGCUGGGCCAUACCUGACGCUAAAGCGCGACAGCAUGGGGAGCAAACGGG
This 254-nucleotide ribosomal RNA is filed under the name uncultured bacterium. RNAcentral's name for it is "partial 16S ribosomal RNA". It matches the Rfam family "Bacterial small subunit ribosomal RNA", at positions 524 to 776 of the family's 1533-position model. The record is from RNAcentral.